This 492-nucleotide ribosomal RNA is filed under the name uncultured bacterium. Its description in RNAcentral is "partial 16S ribosomal RNA". It matches the Rfam family "Bacterial small subunit ribosomal RNA", at positions 29 to 507 of the family's 1533-position model. The record is from RNAcentral.
AGUGAACGCUGGCGGUAGGCCUAACACAUGCAAGUCGAACGGCAGCACAGUAAGAGCUUGCUCUUACGGGUGGCGAGUGGCGGACGGGUGAGGAAUACAUCGGAAUCUACUUUUUCGUGGGGGAUAACGUAGGGAAACUUACGCUAAUACCGCAUACGACCUACGGGUGAAAGCAGGGGAUCUUCGGACCUUGCGCGAUUGAAUGAGCCGAUGUCGGAUUAGCUAGUUGGCGGGGUAAAGGCCCACCAAGGCGACGAUCCGUAGCUGGUCUGAGAGGAUGAAUCGCCACCCUUGGACUGGAACACGGUCCCGGCUCCUGACGGAGGGCAGAGUGGGGAAUUUUUGGCCAAGGGGGCCAGCCUUCUCCAACCAUUCCACCUUGGUGAAAAAAGCCUUCCGGUUUUUAAACCCCUUUGUUGGGAAAGAAAAGCAGCAGGUUAAUACCCCGCUGUUCUGACGGUACCCAAAGAAUAAGCGCCGGCUAACUUCGUG